This 464-nucleotide ribosomal RNA is filed under the name uncultured bacterium. RNAcentral's name for it is "partial 16S ribosomal RNA". It matches the Rfam family "Bacterial small subunit ribosomal RNA", at positions 28 to 507 of the family's 1533-position model. The record is from RNAcentral.
GACGAACGCUGGCGGCGUGCUUAACACAUGCAAGUCGAACGGAAAGGCCCUGCUUGCAGGGUACUCGAGUGGCGAACGGGUGAGUAACACGUGGGUGAUCUGCCCUGCACUUCGGGAUAAGCCUGGGAAACUGGGUCUAAUACCGGAUAGGAGCCAUUUUUAGUGUGAUGGUUGGAAAGUUUUUUCGGUGUAGGAUGAGCUCGCGGCCUAUCAGCUUGUUGGUGGGGUAUGGACUACCAAGGCGGCGACGGGUAGCCGGGCUGGGAGGGUGGACGGCCACAUUGGGACUGAGAUACGGCCCAGACUCCUACGGGAGGCAGCAGUGGGGAAUAUUGCACAAUGGGCGCAAGCCUGAUGCAGCGACGCCGCGUGGGGGAUGACGGCCUUCGGGUUGUAAACUCCUUUCGCUAGGGACGAAGCUUUUUGUGACGGUACCUAGAUAAGAAGCACCGGCUAACUACGUG